This 253-nucleotide ribosomal RNA is filed under the name uncultured bacterium. RNAcentral describes it as "partial 16S ribosomal RNA". It matches the Rfam family "Bacterial small subunit ribosomal RNA", at positions 524 to 776 of the family's 1533-position model. The record is from RNAcentral.
UACAGAGGGUGCAAGCGUUAAUCGGAAUUACUGGGCGUAAAGCGCGCGUAGGUGGUUUGUUAAGUUGGAUGUGAAAGCCCCGGGCUCAACCUGGGAACUGCAUUCAAAACUGACAAGCUAGAGUAUGGUAGAGGGUGGUGGAAUUUCCUGUGUAGCGGUGAAAUGCGUAGAUAUAGGAAGGAACACCAGUGGCGAAGGCGACCACCUGGACUGAUACUGACACUGAGGUGCGAAAGCGUGGGGAGCGAACAGG